GCCGGCGUAGCUCAGUGGUUAGAGCGAGCGCUUCAUAAGCGUUAGGUCGGAGGUUCGAUCCCUCCCGUCGGCA
Molecule: non-coding RNA, 73 nt
Organism: Candidatus Harrisonbacteria bacterium
Lineage: Bacteria; Candidatus Harrisoniibacteriota
Source: Rfam